UACGGGGGGGGCUAGCGUUGUUCGGAAUUACUGGGCGUAAAGCGCGCGUAGGCGGCUUUGCAAGUCGGGUGUGAAAUCCCCAGGCUUAACCUGGGAACUGCAUUCGAGACUGCAUUGCUAGAGUAUGGGAGAGGGAAGUGGAAUUUCCGGUGUAGCGGUGAAAUGCGUAGAUAUCGGAAGGAACAUCAGUGGCGAAAGCGACUUCCUGGACCAAUACUGACGCUCAUGUGCGAAAGCGUGGGGAGCAAACAGG
This 253-nucleotide ribosomal RNA is filed under the name uncultured bacterium. Its description in RNAcentral is "partial 16S ribosomal RNA". It matches the Rfam family "Bacterial small subunit ribosomal RNA", at positions 524 to 776 of the family's 1533-position model. The record is from RNAcentral.